UACGGAGGGUGCAAGCGUUAAUCGGAAUUACUGGGCGUAAAGCGCGUGUAGGCGGUCUUGUAAGUCGGAUGUGAAAGCCCCGGGCUCAACCUGGGAACUGCAUUCGAUACUGCAGGACUAGAGUAUGGAAGAGGGAAGCGGAAUUCCGGGUGUAGCGGUGAAAUGCGUAGAUAUCCGGAGGAACACCAGUGGCGAAGGCGGCUUCCUGGUCCAAUACUGACGCUGAGACGCGAAAGCGUGGGGAGCAAACAGG
RNAcentral lists this ribosomal RNA (253 nucleotides) under uncultured bacterium. RNAcentral's name for it is "partial 16S ribosomal RNA". It matches the Rfam family "Bacterial small subunit ribosomal RNA", at positions 524 to 776 of the family's 1533-position model. The record is from RNAcentral.